Molecule: RNA transcript, 3760 nt
Organism: Alligator mississippiensis (American alligator)
Lineage: Eukaryota; Metazoa; Chordata; Crocodylia; Alligatoridae
Exons: 4
Source: RefSeq, a predicted model, not a curated record
AUAGGAGGCUUGUUGCCUUGCUUGGAAGAAGGAAAACUUGUUUGUAUGGUGUGUGUCAUUGCUAAUAAUCACAUUAGGCAACCCCAGGUGCUUUAAAUAAGCUGCUGUGGGUGUGGUCUGGUUUUGCUACCUCCAGACUUGCUAUCCCUACCCAUAGUUAUCACACUGCCGCUUGAGUGAUUUAUUAUUUUGGGCUAAAUUUAAGCAAGGAACAGAUGACUGACUAGAUCCAGGUGAGCCAAAGAACCCCUGAAAGCCAGCAGGCCUCCCAAGCAACACCUUCCCGUUGCCUGCUCCGCAAGGCGUGGCUGUGCAGGGCUGCCAAGGAGCUGACUUCAUUCACAGGGAACUGACAUCAGUCCGAGAUGUUCUUCUGCGGGAGGAAUUUGUAUCUCCCUGCUGCUGCCUGCAUCCUUACCUUCAUCUCCGUGGUUAUGCUGUCUUACCUAAGUACACCAAGACACUCUGCCAUCCCAAAAAUAAUACAAGGCAGCAACUGUAGAGGACGCACUGUCAACAGCACGAUCACAGCCUUGGAGGAUAACAGAACCUUUAUCGUAGCCCCGUACUUUGAUAACAGAGAGAGCAAAAUCACCCGAGUGAUUGGGAUUGUUCACCAUGAGGAGGUGACGGCACUUUACUGCUGGUUCUGCUGCCAGCCCGAAGGGGAAAUACACGUAUCUAGGGGACACAUUGAUGUCCAUUUGGAUCGAUUUGACUUCCCGUACGGUGCAGCAGACCUGCUCUGUGCAGAACCCCCCACCUGUGAUCCGAGCUAUGUGUCGAUUCACUCAUUCUCUAAUGGAAAUAUUGAACAGCUGCCCAGAUUUGAAAUAAAGAACCGCAAGCCUGAGCCCUUUUCUGCUGACUUCACCGUGUGCAUCUCAACCAUGUUUGGAAACUACAACAAUGUCUUACAGUUUAUACAGAGCAUGGAGAUGUACAAAAUUCUUGGGGCCCAGAGAGUGGUGAUCUAUAAGAACAGCUGCAGCCCCCUGAUGGAGCAUGUCCUGGCCUUCUACAUUGCAGAAGGGACCGCCGAGGUCAUUCCCUGGCCCAUCACCUCCCACCUCAAGGUGUCUCCUCACUGGCGCUUCCCGAAGGAUGGGACGCACAUCGGUUACUACGGACAAAUCACCGCUCUCAAUGACUGCGUGUAUCGCAACAUGUACCGGAGCAGGUUUGUGCUGCUCAAUGAUAUCGAUGAGAUUAUUCUGCCCGCGAAGCACCCGGAUUGGAAAACCAUGAUGAGGAGUCUUCAGGAGCAGAAUCCAGAAACGGGCGUUUUCCUCUUUGAGAAUCACAUCUUCCCCAGCACCGUGUUCACUGCCACCUCCACGGACCAGAUGGACACUUCAUCGUGGCAUGCUGUGCCCGGAGUGAACAUACUGCAGCAUAUGCACAGGGAGCCUGACCGGAAAGAUGUCAUCAACCCUAGGAAAAUGAUAGUUAAUCCAAGGAAGGUGAUUCAGACUUCAGUCCACUCUGUCCUGAGGGCCUACACUGACAGUGUGAAAGUUCCUUUGGAGGUUGCCCUUGUCUACCACUGCCGGGGACCGCUGCAAGGGCAGCUUCCCAGAGAAUCGCUGAUUCGGGAUACGACGCUCUGGAAAUACAACUCCUCCUUAAUCUUGAAUGUUAACAAUGUGCUACUGCAAACUGUGUUUUAGGGCAACACUAUAGCUAUGGUAGAAAAGCUGCUAGAUUCCUAAGGGACAGGUAGGAACCACUAUGAUAAUAGAUAACUACAUGUAAAGAUUUCCAUGCAGAUCUGCCAGAACAGUCCCUGAACAUACCAGGUAUAGGGAAAUGCAUUUUAACCAUGACCUAAAUUUGUGGUAACUGUUUACAAUACACAAUAAAAUAUGAAACCAUAGUAAAGAAUAUUUCAAUGAGUUCUCUAAUACGAUAAAUACUAAGACACCUGGUAUAGUGAGGAAGAGGCAGACAUGGUCUUGCAGCUCCAUACGCUUGCAGCUGUUGAAAGGUACUGAAUUGCGACAUACACUUAUGGCUCCAUCAUGACAUAUCUGCAAAUCUCUAUCUGUGAUGGCUAAAGAGCAAAUGGAUGGAGUUUGUGGUGCUCAGUAUGGACAAAUGUUCCUUUGAAGGUGGUUACUACGCCCAGGCUUAGAUAGCAGCCACCCUGGCAAUAAAAGAAGGAACUCUGCAAGUAAGGCUCAGAUCACAGAAGCUGAGGAUGCAAGCAGAGAAAGCAAUGCACUUGCAAGACCUGGCAUUUCUUUUUGCUACACAGGCUUUGCAGUAGAGUGGCAGCCAGUUGAUGACGCUGAAAUCAGGCACAGGGAAUGGAGGCUAUUCUGAAAACACCAAAGCUGGAUUUGUUUCCAGUAAACUUGUUCCAGUUAUAAAUUUGGGUCAACUGAUUAUCAUGUAAACUUUCCAAACAUUUUCAAGCAUGGGUUGAAUUAUAACUACAGUAAUUUAGCUACUAACAUCUGUGCUGCCAAAUAAUUCCUAGUUUGCAUUUAAAAACCUGUGGAAAAAAUAUCCAAAUUUGAUUUUUCAUAUCAAAAUAAGAGUAGAAAGUUAAGAGAAGUGUGAAAGUAACAAAGCCCAUGUUUAUUCUUGCAAACAGCAGCAUUUGUACAAAUGCUGGUCGCUAUGUUUUGUUACACUAAAAAUACUUCACUUUGUUUGAAUAAGCAAUAAAAAACCCCAAACAGGCCGUGGAUGAAGGUGUGAAGGGGGAUAUAAUCUGAAAGUUAGAAGGCAGGCUUUCAGGGUGGCCACCCACAGCUGCUCUGAAUUACUUAAGAGGAGAGGGUUGAUUUUUUUUAAAAGCUGCUCAGUUAUAAAGGCUGAUAAGGGAGGAGGCUCAUGUUAGCAGAGUGAAGACUGUUCUUAGCUGGAAGAAAGCAGAGGCUCUUGACUGCUUAUCGUGUAAUUUUCCACAAUCUUGAAUCCUUUCAACUUGGAUUGUUCUUUCAUUUGCCAAAAUCAGACAUGAGGUGGAUACCAGGUCUUGUUCUUUGUAAACUGGGGCUACAAACAGUCCACAUACCUCUAUGAAAGCAUAAUGCUUGAGACACGGUACAGUUAUGUAUCUAAUAUAGGAACAAAUGAAACAGGAAUUGGUUCCGAUCUUCCUACAGAAAUGCAGCUCGACAUUCUGAGAUGCUUUUGCUAAAUUCCUUCAUUUUGUGGCUGCAGUCUUUAUGAAGGAAGGGGCAGGCAGCACCACCAGGGAGUGAUACAGGCAAGCAGUCACGGUAAGUAGUUUAUAAGCCUUGAAACAGACAUUUAAGGUACUCAGAGGACUGCACUGGCCUACAGACAUAACGCACAUCAUAACAGUUUGCCAUGUUCCACUGUGUGAAGCAGACCAUCCUCCACCCUGCCCCCUUUAUGGUGACUGUAUGUUAUAAACACCAACUGGUUAACUUGAGCAAAGCACCUGAACGGGGACAGCAUUCCCUUUCUGUGGGGUAGAACAGCACUUUUGUAUUCCUGAAUGCAGUUGCCAUUUCCAAGCACUGUACGCAGUUCUGUUAGUUUUACCCUCUUGCUGAACAUAAUUACAAGGGCAUUAAAUCUCCUUGCUCCUUUUUACUGAAGGGACCGGUAAACUUAGAGAUGCCUCCAUGAUCGUUGUGGAUACCUUUACGCAACUUACUUUACACCAAUGGUGUUGUUUUAGGUUGGAUAAAGCACAUCAUACUGCUGUGAAGUAAAUGGCAAGCUGGGGAAAAUGAGAAAUACUUAAGCAUCAUAAAAUAUCCAGAGGUUCCUACCUGUA